AUGCCAGCUCCAGAAGACUCAGGAAUCUUUCCUUUCCAGAGCUUGCUUCAGCCCGUUGGUUCUCCUCCAGAAGGAGUACCAACGGGCUUCGAGCUGUCACAGCUCCCACCUCGCCUCCAUAGAUGGUUUCAGCGUAAGCCGGCAGCCAAAGAAACAGCAGCCCUUGAGGCCUUGGCGAAUUGCAUUCUGAAGGGCCGCAAUCAGGUGGCNCUCAAGUGGGCUGACCAGAUCCUCGCCUCAGAAGAUUUGCCNACAGCAGUCAAAAGUCCGCUCAAGGACAUCAGGAAGGUUCUGGCCCUGACAGUGGAUGCAGUCCUGGACUCCAUGUCACUUUCGGCCCGGACCUGGCUCAGUUGGUCGCAGCACGAAGAGUCCUAUGGCUAAAAUUCUGGUCAGUGGAUGUUAAGGCUUGCAACAACCUUGCAUCAAAGCCUUUCUGAGGAAAGAAACUAUUCAGAGACCAUGCCCUAGACCCAGUCCUGACUGAGACCCAGGACAAGAAAAAAAGGAAUACCCUUUUUGGCAUCAUCACAACCCAGCAGAGAAGGCAAGGAUCCCAGAAGGCAUUCCUUUCGUCCCUUUUGGAAAUCAGGCAUUUUGUCCCAGGGACAGCUUCUCUCAGCAUCAGCCCAAGUCACANUGGGCCAGAUUUAAGAGAUCCUCAGCUCAGUCAUNCAACUGUCAACAGCGAGGCAACUGGAACCCUAAACAGGUCUGANUCCCACACCCGGGUGGGCGAUAGGUUAUUGGAUUUCUACUCUCGUUGGUUUUCCUUAGUCAAGGAUGCUUGGGUCCUGAGGAUUAUUUCCUCUGGCUACUCCCCUGAGUUCAUUACCCAUCCACCCCCAACCAAUUCGCAGCCUCACCCCUCCCUAGAGGCAAGUCCAAACAGGCGGCCGUCAGCCAGGCUAUCAGAGAUCUCCUGGAUCUCGGGGCCAUCGAGCAGGUACUGCCUUCCCAGCGGGGCACCGGGGUCUGUUCUAUUUUCUUNGUGGUCCCCAAGAAAUCAGGCGANUGGAGGUCAAUCCUCNAGCAUUUCUUAAGCAUUUCCACUUCAGGAUGGAAACACNGGCCUCCAUCAGGGCAUGGCUCCAAAACCAGGAUUUUUUAUGUUCCUUGGAUCUUUCCCUGGCCUAUUUCCACANCCCGAUCCAGGAAUUUAGUCACUGUUUUCUUUGUUUUUGGUUGAGGACCAGCACUGGCAAUUCNGUCUUGCCUCGGCCCCCAGGGUCUUCACCAAGGUCUUGUCUUCUUUGUUGGAGGUCCUUAGACUCGAGGGGAUAGGAAUGUUCUCUUAUUUAGACGACAUUCUUCUCAGGGCCCCUUCCUUUUCCUCCGCCUCUCAACAGCUAUCCGGAGUGCGUCAUACCCUAGAGACGCACGG
This 1384-nucleotide long non-coding RNA is filed under the name Salvator merianae (Argentine black and white tegu). Its description in RNAcentral is "lncRNA (ENSSMRG00000006093.1)". Lineage: Eukaryota; Metazoa; Chordata; Lepidosauria; Squamata; Teiidae. The record is from RNAcentral.